GAGUUUGAUCCUGGCUCAGAUUGAACGCUGGCGGCAUGCUUUACACAUGCAAGUCGAGCGGCAGCGCGGGGGCAACCCUGGCGGCGAGCGGCGAACGGGUGAGUAAUGCAUCGGAACGUGUCCUGGAGUGGGGGAUAACCCGGCGAAAGCCGGGCUAAUACCGCAUACGCUCUCUGGAGGAAAGCGGGGGAUCCGCAAGGACCUCGCGCUCGCGGAGCGGCCGAUGCCCGAUUAGCUUGUUGGUGAGGUAAAGGCUUACCAAGGCGACGAUCGGUAGCUGGUCUGAGAGGAUGAUCAGCCACACUGGGACUGAGACACGGCCCAGACUCCUACGGGAGGCAGCAGUGGGGAAUUUUGGACAAUGGGGGCAACCCUGAUCCAGCCAUGCCGCGUGCGGGAAGAAGGCCUUCGGGUUGUAAACCGCUUUUAGCCGGGAAGAAAAGGCGCGGGCUAAUACUCCGCGUUUUUGACGGUACCGGCGGAAUAAGCACCGGCUAACUACGUGCCAGCAGCCGCGGUAAUACGUAGGGUGCGAGCGUUAAUCGGAAUUACUGGGCGUAAAGCGUGCGCAGGCGGUUCGUUAUGUCCGAUGUGAAAGCCCCGGGCUCAACCUGGGAAUGGCAUUGGAAACUGGCGAGCUUGAGUGUGGCAGAGGGGGGUGGAAUUCCGCGUGUAGCAGUGAAAUGCGUAGAGAUGCGGAGGAACACCGAUGGCGAAGGCAGCCCCCUGGGC
This 732-nucleotide ribosomal RNA is filed under the name uncultured bacterium. RNAcentral describes it as "bacterial SSU rRNA". It matches the Rfam family "Bacterial small subunit ribosomal RNA", at positions 9 to 734 of the family's 1533-position model. The record is from RNAcentral.